UACGUAGGGUGCGAGCGUUAAUCGGAAUUACUGGGCGUAAAGUGUGCGCAGGCGGCGUCGCAAGUCGAGUGUGAAAGCCCCGGGCUUAACUUGGGAAUUGCGCUCGAAACUACGAUGCUGGAGUAUGGCAGAGGAAGGUGGAAUUCCGGGUGUAGUGGUGAAAUGCGUAGAGAUCCGGAGGAACACCAGUGGCGAAGGCGACACGCUGGGCCGUACCUGACACUGAUGCGCGACAGCAUGGGGAGCAAACAGG
This 253-nucleotide ribosomal RNA is filed under the name uncultured bacterium. Its description in RNAcentral is "partial 16S ribosomal RNA". It matches the Rfam family "Bacterial small subunit ribosomal RNA", at positions 524 to 776 of the family's 1533-position model. The record is from RNAcentral.